AUCGCUUCUCGGCCUUUUGGCUAAGAUCAAGUGUACUUUCUUUCUAUCAACCCUAGAAAUACCAAAACGUUGUACAAUGGAAGUACAAGAUUUCAAAAUGAAUAUAUGCUUGCUCCUCUUCUUCUGUGGAGACUCAUGAGGACCAGAGAGGACAGUCAAU
Molecule: small nuclear RNA, 160 nt
Filed under: Canis lupus dingo (dingo)
Lineage: Eukaryota; Metazoa; Chordata; Mammalia; Carnivora; Canidae
Description: U2 spliceosomal RNA (ENSCAFG00020024442.1)
Rfam family: U2 spliceosomal RNA
About the family: U2 is a small nuclear RNA (snRNA) component of the spliceosome (involved in pre-mRNA splicing).
Source: Rfam by way of RNAcentral